Cinara cedri is the source of this 502-nucleotide non-coding RNA. The record is from the annotation of a GenBank genome assembly. Lineage: Eukaryota; Metazoa; Arthropoda; Insecta; Hemiptera; Aphididae.
GGCCGCGAUUUUUGUAAUGAUUCCUCGUUACUGUUUUUUAAUUCGCACGUAACAAUAUACACGGGCACGGGAGAAACGCGUCGCAACCUACAAUCUAAUUAUAAAUAUUAAUCAACAACAAAUUAAUAACAAGUACCACUACACACGUGUAUUUUAAUACGAUUUUCUACGCGCCAUCUGAAUUCCUGAUAAACAUAAUUAUUAUUACAGUUUUUAAUAUAAAUUUAAUACAAAAAAAUUUACCGGCACCUCUGUGCAUUUUUCCUACAAUACACAUUACAAUAAUAAUAUGUCACGAUCGCCGUCGACGCUGUAGCUGCUCCGCCGGGAUAAAGAUUGUUAGCAAAUUCCGCAUUGGUUUUUCGUUUUCGAAAAAAAAAAAAAAAAACUCACCACCGCCGUUGCCGGGAACGAGUUAUACGAGGGAAACGACGAUCGUUUGAGACGCGCGCGAACGUCCGUACUGCACACCACGCACUCCGCACUCGCCACUCGCGCCUCG